AACUCCCAAACCCCUGUGAACAUACCUUAAUGUUGCCUCGGCGGAUCAGCCCGCGCCCCGUAAAACGGGACGGCCCGCCAGAGGACCCAAACUCUAAUGUUUCUUAUUGUAACUUCUGAGUAAAACAAACAAAUAAAUCA
RNAcentral lists this unclassified non-coding RNA (140 nucleotides) under Fusarium avenaceum. Its description in RNAcentral is "ITS1". The record is from RNAcentral. Lineage: Eukaryota; Fungi; Ascomycota; Sordariomycetes; Hypocreales; Nectriaceae.